CACCAGACUCCUACGGGAGGCAGCAGUGGGGAAUAUUGCACAAUGGGGGAAACCCUGAUGCAGCGACGCCGCGUGAGUGAAGAAGUAUUUCGGUAUGUAAAGCUCUAUCAGCAGGGAAGAAAAUGACGGUACCUGAGUAAGAAGCCCCGGCUAACUACGUGCCAGCAGCCGCGGUAAUACGUAGGGGGCAAGCGUUAUCCGGAAUUACUGGGUGUAAAGGGAGCGUAGACGGUGAAGUAAGUCUGGAGUGGAAGGCGGGGGCCCAACCCCCGGACUGCUCUGGAAACUAUUUGACUGGAGUGCAGGAGAGGUAAGCGGAAUUCCUAGUGUAGCGGUGAAAUGCGUAGAUAUUAGGAGGAACACCAGUGGCGAAGGCGGCGUACUGGACUGUAACUGACGUUGAGGCUCGAAAGCGUGGGGAGCAAACAGGAUUAGAUACCCCCGUAAAA
This 449-nucleotide ribosomal RNA is filed under the name uncultured bacterium. RNAcentral's name for it is "bacterial SSU rRNA". It matches the Rfam family "Bacterial small subunit ribosomal RNA", at positions 329 to 794 of the family's 1533-position model. The record is from RNAcentral.